Molecule: ribosomal RNA, 155 nt
Filed under: Merulina scabricula
Lineage: Eukaryota; Metazoa; Cnidaria; Anthozoa; Scleractinia; Merulinidae
Description: partial 5.8S ribosomal RNA
Rfam family: 5.8S ribosomal RNA
About the family: 5.8S ribosomal RNA (5.8S rRNA) is a component of the large subunit of the eukaryotic ribosome.
Source: RNAcentral
AACUUUUGACGGUGGAUCUCUUGGCUCACGCAUCGAUGAAGAACGCAGCCAGCUGCGAUAAGUAGUGUGAAUUGCAGAAUUCAGUGAAUCAUCGAAUCUUUGAACGCAAAUGGCGCUCUUGGGUUCUCCCAGGAGCAUGUCUGUCUGAGUGUCGG